Molecule: unclassified non-coding RNA, 378 nt
Filed under: uncultured Oligoflexales bacterium
Lineage: Bacteria; Pseudomonadati; Bdellovibrionota; Oligoflexia; Oligoflexales
Description: contains 16S-23S intergenic spacer region
Source: RNAcentral
UCCGGUUUAACACCGGCAGUCUCCAUAGAGUGCCCAACUAAAUGAUGGCAACUAGGGAUAGGGGUUGCGCUCGUUAAGGGACUUAACCCGACAUCUCACGAUACGAGCUGACGACAGCCAUGCAGCACCUAAACCACAGGCCCCCGAAGGGGAAGCCGUAUCUCUACGGUUGUCCUGUGUUGUCUAACCCAGGUAAGGUUCUUCGCGUUGCAUCGAAUUAAACCACAUGCUCCACCGCUUGUGCGGGCCCCCGUCAAUUCCUUUGAGUUUUAAUCUUGCGACCGUACUUCCCAGGCGGGGUACUUAAUGCGUUAGCGUCGGCACUGCAGGGGUCAAUUCCCGCAACACCUAGUACCCAUCGUUUACGGCGUGGACUAC